This 235-nucleotide unclassified non-coding RNA is filed under the name plant metagenome. RNAcentral describes it as "partial contains small subunit ribosomal RNA and internal transcribed spacer 1". The stretch from base 1 to 46 matches the Rfam family "Eukaryotic small subunit ribosomal RNA", at positions 1786 to 1831 of the family's 1831-position model. The record is from RNAcentral.
AAGUCGUAACAAGGUUUCCGUAGGUGAACCUGCGGAAGGAUCAUUAAAGAGUUAGGGUCCUCCGGGGCCCGACCUCCCACCCUUUGUCGUCGCGAAAUUGUUGCUUUGGCGGUGCCCGCCCCUCCUCCUCGCGGGGAGGGCGACCGGGUCCAGGCCCGGGCAGCGCCCGCCAGAGUCCCAAACCCAACUCCUCUGCAAACACUGCGGUCAGAGUAAACGAUUUAAUAAAUCAAAA